CCCCUUUUAUAACCUCCUCUCUAACUGCUCGUGACUCCUGCUCCCCGGCUAUGGCAUGCGGAUGAUGCUGCCGUGGGGACAGUCUAGCAGCUUCUUCCCCCUCCACUGUAUUAUAGCAUACAAAUUAACUUUAUUAACAUUACACAUACACAUAUACUAAUAUAGCUCCCUAAUAGUAACCAUGGAUUACACUAUAUAUUUUUUUUUACAUACUGCUGAGAUAGCUGCAUGUGCUCAGCGAUGUUGUUUCCAAGUUAGGUGAAUAUAUCUUCCAACCAGAAACUGGUACUGUGCUCAUGUGACUCAGGCUUCCAAUGGCAGACAAGCGCUCCCUAUAGAAACCUGCAACUGUGGCUCAGCAUUUAUCGGAACAACUCCCUCCCUAGUGUGUUUCUCUCUGAUCCCGGUCAACCUGUGUCAUUAUCUGCCCUCAGCGCUUCAGUAUGCAGUCUGUGCCAGUGCUCCUGUUUCCAGUACUUCUACCGACAGUUUGCAUUCAGCUAAUCUGCUCUCAACCUGUGCCAAUGAUACUGUUUGCUGCCUGAGCUACAGCAGGAGCGGACAUCAAUCGUUGCACAGAGAGAUUGGUUGUCAUGGGGACAGUGCACACUGAGCUGGCCACCUGGAGAUUGGACUGAUGCCAGCGACUUGGCGCUGUGAGAUGAUGUCAUUGCGGCACUGGCUGGAUCCUGCACAUGGGGAAUGAGCAGUGGGAUACAAGAAUAAAUAGUUCAGCUAUGAAGAAGUUAGAGGUGAAGCUGGUGGAAAAGAGGUGGUGCAGACUGAAGAUGUGGCGGGUCUGGACUGGCGAUGGUGGGGAAAGGAGGAGCCAGAAGAGAA
Molecule: long non-coding RNA, 840 nt
Organism: Pseudophryne corroboree (corroboree frog)
Lineage: Eukaryota; Metazoa; Chordata; Amphibia; Anura; Myobatrachidae
Exons: 3
Source: RefSeq, a predicted model, not a curated record